UCCCUGGUGGUCCAGUGGUUAAGAUGCCGCACUUCCAAUGCGGGGGUUGCGGGUUCAAACCCUGGUCAGGGAA
Molecule: non-coding RNA, 73 nt
Organism: Aethalodelphis obliquidens (Pacific white-sided dolphin)
Lineage: Eukaryota; Metazoa; Chordata; Mammalia; Artiodactyla; Delphinidae
Source: the annotation of a RefSeq genome assembly